This 73-nucleotide transfer RNA is filed under the name Felis catus (domestic cat). It matches the Rfam family "tRNA". From Rfam's summary of the family: Transfer RNA (tRNA) molecules are approximately 80 nucleotides in length. Their secondary structure includes four short double-helical elements and three loops (D, anti-codon, and T loops). Further hydrogen bonds mediate the characteristic L-shaped molecular structure. tRNAs have two regions of fundamental functional importance: the anti-codon, which is responsible for specific mRNA codon recognition, and the 3' end, to which the tRNAs corresponding amino acid is attached (by aminoacyl-tRNA synthetases). tRNAs cope with the degeneracy of the genetic code in two manners: having more than one tRNA (with a specific anti-codon) for a particular amino acid; and 'wobble' base-pairing, i.e. permitting non-standard base-pairing at the 3rd anti-codon position. RNAcentral also lists the same sequence under 3 other names. Lineage: Eukaryota; Metazoa; Chordata; Mammalia; Carnivora; Felidae. The record is from Rfam by way of RNAcentral.
GCCUGGCUGGCUCAGUCGGAAAAGCAAGUGACUCCUGAUCUCAGGGUUGUGAGUUCAAGCCCCACGUUGGGUA